AUUACUUAUUAAAAAGUUUUAAAAAAAAACCAACUAAGACGUAAUGUUACGAAUUGAGACUUUUUGUUUUUUCGUGACAAAGUAACGAAUUGAGACGAAGCUAUUUUACAAUAAAAAUAAAAUAAAAGAUAGUAUUUAGCAAUACGGCAAUGAUGAACAAACAUUUACUGCAUUUUCAAGUUUAUUUACUUAAUAGUUGAAUAAAAAGUAGAGAAUGUAACCUUGUUACCAAUUGUAACCGAUUGAGACGUAACGUAACUUUAAAAUGUUAUAGGGGUUAUAUUAUCUUAUAUAUUUCUUAUUAACUGGUUAUUCGUACAUACGCAGCAUUCACGCCGCUUUAGUGUUCGAUAUACCCAAGAUGAAAGAGAAAUUGGCUCUUCGGCGUAAAAUUCCAAAUUGAAGAGAUGUUAAAGGCACCUGUAAUAGAUGCUGUUUGUUAUAGCAUGCGCCGGUGGAUCCACAAAUGCUUUGCGUAAUCAUAUUUUGUGUCAUGGAUUUACGAUCAAUAACCCUUCGACUGAAGGAUCAGGCAGCAGCUCAAAUCCACCACCCGGAAAAAAAAAUUAAAACCAUCGAAAGUUAAUUACAAAAAACGAACCUUUGAGAAUUUGUAGCUGAUCCAGCUGCAGACCGUGUUUUGAUUAAAACAAUAACUAACAACAAGUUUAUUCGCUCAACGAUUCAACAAAGAGGAAAUCAUUUUCUUAAAUCUCUAACAUCUAUGACGAAUUUAAUCCAUCAAGAUUCUUAUGAUAAAAACUCUCUCAGUGGGCGCAAGAACGUUUUGCGAACGUUUUUUAAUGGUCCCGUUAAAACGUUUUUUAAUGGUUUUUUAAACGUCCAUAUGAAACGGUGACCGGACGUUUUUUAAAAGCGUUUUGUGAACGUUUUUUAAGGUUUCGACAAAAAGCGUUUUUUAUUAAUUUUUUGAACGUCCAUAUGAAGCGGUGAACGGAGGUUAUUCUGAAAACGUUAUUUAAUGGUUUUAAUUACGUCUAAAUUAAACGUUUUGUCGUUUUUAACAUUUUUCUAACAACUUUUUUUUUAAGCAUAAAGGAGGGGAGGCAUAAUUUUGUGACUAUUUGUGACAAGGGGAAAGGGGGUUUAAUGAAUGUGACGUCACAAACAUUAAUUUAGCAUGACAGUUUAAUUUCUACUUGUUCAAUCAAUCAAUUAAAGAAGUGUUUCAGAUUGUCAAAAA
This is a non-coding RNA of Hydra vulgaris (swiftwater hydra), 1204 nucleotides long. Lineage: Eukaryota; Metazoa; Cnidaria; Hydrozoa; Anthoathecata; Hydridae. The record is from RefSeq and is a predicted model, not a curated record.